AUGGUGCAUGCCCUGGACCUGCUCGACGCCCCAGCAGAGCAAGAGCCUGCACCGGAAUGUUGCGUGCUCUCCACACACGCGGUUGCCGGCACAGAGUCGCCGCGCACCAUCCGUCUGUGCGCGCUCGUCGGCAAUCAGGUGAUGCUGCUGUUAGUCGACUCCGGGAGCACACACAGUUUCGUCUCCAAGGAGUUCGCCGAGCGUGUGCACGCGGUUUCUGUGCCCGUGCCUGCGGUGGAGGUCCGGGUGGCCAACGGCGAGCGCAUGAUGUGCAACAGCAUGGUAAAGGGACUGAACUGGUGGAUUCAAGGACACACGUUCGCCACAGACAUGAGGCAACUGGAUUUGGGUUCUUAUGACGGCGUGCUCGGCAUGGACUGGCUGGAGUAG
RNAcentral lists this ribosomal RNA (390 nucleotides) under Triticum aestivum (bread wheat). Its description in RNAcentral is "partial small subunit ribosomal RNA". Lineage: Eukaryota; Viridiplantae; Streptophyta; Magnoliopsida; Poales; Poaceae. The record is from RNAcentral.